UACGUAGGCAGCGAGCGUUGUUCGGAGUUACUGGGCGUAAAGGGUGUGUAGGCGGUUCUUUAAGUUUGGUGUGGAAUCUCCCGGCUCAACCGGGAGGGUGCGCCGAAUACUGAGGGACUUGGAGUGCGGGAGAGGAAAGUGGAAUUCCUGGUGUAGCGGUGAAAUGCGUAGAUAUCAGGAGGAACACCGGUGGUGUAGACGGCUUUCUGGACCGUAACUGACGCUGAGACACGAAAGCGUGGGUAGCAAACAGG
Molecule: ribosomal RNA, 254 nt
Filed under: uncultured bacterium
Lineage: Bacteria
Description: partial 16S ribosomal RNA
Rfam family: Bacterial small subunit ribosomal RNA
Source: RNAcentral